GUCGCGAGGCCGAGCCGAUCCCCAAAAGCCGUCUCAGUUCGGAUUGCACCCUGCAACUCGGGUGCAUGAAGGUGGAAUCGCUAGUAAUCGUGGAUCAGCACGCCACGGUGAAUACGUUCCCGGGCCUUGUACACACCGCCCGUCACACCAUGGGAGUUGGUUCUACCUUAAGUGGCUGCGCUAACCGCAAGGGGGCAGGUCACCACGGUAGGGUCAGCGACUGGGGUGAAGUCGUAACAAGGUAGCCGUAGGGGAACCUGCGGCUGGAUCACCUCCUUUCAAGG
This 284-nucleotide ribosomal RNA is filed under the name Muricoccus nepalensis. Its description in RNAcentral is "Roseomonas nepalensis partial 16S ribosomal RNA". It matches the Rfam family "Bacterial small subunit ribosomal RNA", at positions 1254 to 1533 of the family's 1533-position model. Lineage: Bacteria; Pseudomonadati; Pseudomonadota; Alphaproteobacteria; Acetobacterales; Roseomonadaceae. The record is from RNAcentral.